AGGAAGGCAGCAGGCGCGUAAAUUACCCAAUCCUGACUCAGGGAGGUAGUGACAAGAAAUAACGGACCGAAGCCUAUGUUUCGGGAUUGCAAUGAGUAGAAUUUAAACCCCUUUACGAGGAUCAAUUGGAGGGCAAGUCUGGUGCCAGCAGCCGCGGUAAUUCCAGCUCCAAUAGCGUAUAUUAAAGUUGUUGCAGUUAAAAAGCUCGUAGUUGGAUUUCUGAGAGGGUGCCAAUGUCCGCUCGAUUGCGUGUGCAGCGGCGCCCUCUCAUCCUUCUGUUAACGUUUCUUGGUAUUCAGUUACUGGUUUCGGGCUCAGAUAUUUUACC
Molecule: ribosomal RNA, 328 nt
Filed under: Heterourosomoida lanceolata
Lineage: Eukaryota; Ciliophora; Spirotrichea; Sporadotrichida; Oxytrichidae
Description: SSU rRNA
Rfam family: Eukaryotic small subunit ribosomal RNA
Source: RNAcentral